This 102-nucleotide ribosomal RNA is filed under the name Streptomyces mangrovi. Its description in RNAcentral is "23S rRNA. Bacterial LSU". It matches the Rfam family "Bacterial large subunit ribosomal RNA", at positions 2822 to 2925 of the family's 2925-position model. The record is from RNAcentral. Lineage: Bacteria; Bacillati; Actinomycetota; Actinomycetes; Kitasatosporales; Streptomycetaceae.
GAGGGGGUAAGGCUCCCGGGAGACGACCGGGUUGAUAGGCCGGAGAUGGAAGCUCCGUGAGGGGUGGAGUUGACCGGUACUAAUAGGCCGAGGGCUUGACCG